This 400-nucleotide unclassified non-coding RNA is filed under the name uncultured fungus. RNAcentral describes it as "sequence contains ITS1". The stretch from base 1 to 105 matches the Rfam family "5.8S ribosomal RNA", at positions 50 to 154 of the family's 154-position model. The record is from RNAcentral. Lineage: Eukaryota; Fungi.
UAACUGCGAUACGUAUUGCGAAUUGCAGAACUCAGUGAAUCAUCAAAUUUUCGAACGCACAUUGCGCUCUCGGGUAACCCUGAGAGCACGUUCUCCUCAGUGUCGCCUUGCACCAAACUCGGCCGCGUGUCGGCCGGAGAAUGAGCUGUCUCGAUGUCAAAUCGAGUCGCUUCAAACUUUGCUGUGAUUGGAUCUCUUGGCGAGCUGCUUCGGCUCUCUCAAGGGUGACGAUUGAUAUAUGUUUUCCUUCUGGGAGACAGAUCAUUCGCCGCUCCCUGAAAGAUCAAAGUCGGACAGCCACGUAUGUAGUUUCACUAUCACCAACUGUGAAAACCACUUGAAUUUUGUGUUUCGGCACAAACAUUCGCAUCCUUUAGACCUGAGGUGGAGCGAGAAUACC